RNAcentral lists this ribosomal RNA (547 nucleotides) under uncultured yeast. Its description in RNAcentral is "eukaryotic LSU rRNA". It matches the Rfam family "Eukaryotic large subunit ribosomal RNA", at positions 38 to 667 of the family's 3401-position model. The record is from RNAcentral. Lineage: Eukaryota; Fungi.
GCAUAUCAAUAAGCGGAGGAAAAGAAACCAACAGGGAUUGCCUCAGUAACGGCGAGUGAAGCGGCAAAAGCUCAAAUUUGAAACCCUCGGGAUUGUAAUUUGAAGAUUUGGCAUUGGAGAAAGCUAACCCAAGUUGCUUGGAAUAGUACGUCAUAUAGGGUGACAACCCCGUCUGGCUAACCGUUCUCCAUGUAUUGCCUUAUCAAAGAGUCGAGUUGUUUGGGAAUGCAGCUCAAAGUGGGUGGUAAACUCCAUCUAAAGCUAAAUACUGGUGAGAGACCGAUAGCGAACAAGUACUGUGAAGGAAAGGUGAAAAGAACUUUGAAAAGAGAGUGAAAUAGUAUGUGAAAUUGUUGAUAGGGAAGGAAAUGAGUGGAGAGUGGCCGAGGUUUCAGCCGCCCCUCGUGGGCGGUGUACUGCCGACGCCGAGUCAUCGAUAGCGAGACGAGGGUUACAAAUGGGAGCGCCUUCGGGCGUUCUCCCCUAACCCUCCACACUGCCACCGACGACAUAAUCCACCCAUUUCACCCGUCUUGAAACACGGACC